GCGUCCUUAGUUCAGUUGGUAGAACGUUGGUCUCCAAAACCAAAUGUCGAGGGUUCAAGUCCUUCAGGACGCGC
RNAcentral lists this transfer RNA (74 nucleotides) under Rhizochromulina marina. RNAcentral's name for it is "tRNA-Trp". It matches the Rfam family "tRNA". Rfam says of the family: Transfer RNA (tRNA) molecules are approximately 80 nucleotides in length. Lineage: Eukaryota; Dictyochophyceae; Rhizochromulinales. The record is from RNAcentral.